AUUGAACGCUGGCGGCAUGCUUUACACAUGCAAGUCGAACGGCAGCGCGGGCUUCGGCCUGGCGGCGAGUGGCGAACGGGUGAGUAAUGCAUCGGAACGUGCCCAGUAGUGGGGGAUAGCCCGGCGAAAGCCGGAUUAAUACCGCAUACGACCUGAGGGUGAAAGAGGGGGACCGAAAGGCCUCGCGCUAUUGGAGCGGUCGAUGUCGGAUUAGCUAGUUGGUGGGGUGAAGGCUUACCAAGGCGACGAUCCGUAGCUGGUCUGAGAGGACGACCAGCCACACUGGGACUGAGACACGGCCCAGACUCCUACGGGAGGCAGCAGUGGGGAAUUUUGGACAAUGGGGGCAACCCUGAUCCAGCCAUGCCGCGUGCGGGAAGAAGGCCUUCGGGUUGUAAACCGCUUUUGUUCGGGAAGAAAUCCUCUGGGCUAAUACCCCGGGGGGAUGACGGUACCGGAAGAAUAAGCACCGGCUAACUACGUG
This 484-nucleotide ribosomal RNA is filed under the name uncultured bacterium. RNAcentral describes it as "partial 16S ribosomal RNA". It matches the Rfam family "Bacterial small subunit ribosomal RNA", at positions 28 to 507 of the family's 1533-position model. The record is from RNAcentral.